AUUGAACGCUGGCGGCAGGCCUAACACAUGCAAGUCGAGCGAGCGGCGGGAGGGUGAGUAAUGUAUGGGGACUGCCCGAUAGAGGGGGAUAAAUACUGGAAACGGUGGCUAAUACCCCAUACUCACGGCUAACCCAUAUGGGAUUAGCUAGUAGGGGGGGGACAGGCUCACCUAGGAGACGAUCUCUAGCUGGUCGGAGAGGGUGAUAAGCCACACUGGGACUGAGACACGGCCCAGACUCCUACGGAGGCAGCAGUGGGGAAUAAUGCACAAUGGGCGCAAGCCUGAUGCAGCCAUGCCGCGUGUAUGAAGAAGGCCUUAGGGUUGUAAAGUACUUUCAGCGGGGAGGCGUUACCCGCAGAAGAAGCACCGGCUAACUCCGUGCCAGCAGCCGCGGUAAUAC
Molecule: ribosomal RNA, 403 nt
Filed under: uncultured bacterium
Lineage: Bacteria
Description: partial 16S ribosomal RNA
Rfam family: Bacterial small subunit ribosomal RNA
Source: RNAcentral